RNAcentral lists this ribosomal RNA (357 nucleotides) under Staphylococcus aureus. Its description in RNAcentral is "bacterial SSU rRNA". It matches the Rfam family "Bacterial small subunit ribosomal RNA", at positions 1185 to 1533 of the family's 1533-position model. RNAcentral also lists the same sequence under 1 other name. The record is from RNAcentral. Lineage: Bacteria; Bacillati; Bacillota; Bacilli; Caryophanales; Staphylococcaceae.
UCAAAUCAUCAUGCCCCUUAUGAUUUGGGCUACACACGUGCUACAAUGGACAAUACAAAGGGCAGCGAAACCGCGAGGUCAAGCAAAUCCCAUAAAGUUGUUCUCAGUUCGGAUUGUAGUCUGCAACUCGACUACAUGAAGCUGGAAUCGCUAGUAAUCGUAGAUCAGCAUGCUACGGUGAAUACGUUCCCGGGUCUUGUACACACCGCCCGUCACACCACGAGAGUUUGUAACACCCGAAGCCGGUGGAGUAACCUUUUAGGAGCUAGCCGUCGAAGGUGGGACAAAUGAUUGGGGUGAAGUCGUAACAAGGUAGCCGUAUCGGAAGGUGCGGCUGGAUCACCUCCUUUCUAAGGA